AAAGAUGUAGAAGGAAAUGUUUGCUUUUCUCCCUCCACCCCACAUACUGUCAUGAUGAAGAGAUGUAGCAGACUUUUACUUCUAAAUAAGCUCAGAUUAACUUAAGUAAAAGAGGAUAUCCGUGGAAAGACUCUGCAAUUGCUCAAAGAAUAAAGAUACAGAAUUAUGAUGUUCUAGCUGCUAGCACAUGUGUACUCAGAUAUGUUCUCCACCCCUUUCCUGGACCUGUACAAGCUGUUAGCACUUGCUCAGCAAGAUGCCAGCGGAGCUGGUCCACGCUUCAGUUCACUCCAGCAGUGGCUGCAGGAGGCAACGGACUUGUGAAACUCUGCCCUGCAACAGCCACACCAGAGUACCCUUCUUCUGCUGCAGUUUGGCUGGGAACAGAAGAACCGGCCAGCGACAAGAAAAAAAGUGACAUCCUUCUAAAUGCUGUGGAAACACUCCUAUCUAGGACUCCUUGACUUCAUCAAAAAGUUCCUUAAUCUUGUGGCCUCUGAACAGUUGUUUCUUUAUGUAAAUCAACCCUUUGCACCUUCCCCAGACCAGGAAGUUGGAACCCUCUCUGAGUGCUUUGGCAGUGCCUAAACGGGUUUUGUACUACCACAAAUCUCAGGCAUGGUGGUUAACCACAGAGAAAAACAACUUGCUAUUCAAAAUGAUUUUUCACAAAAGAAAUGACUCUAAAAAGUUUUGCCGCCAGUGGCAAGAGCCUUAAUGAAUAUGAGCUGCUCAGUAUGUGUCUCCUCUGACUCAUGUAUAUGCCUAAGAAAAUGUCCAUAGAGUGAAUGUAUUCACAAAAAAAUGUGAUAAAUGUUAAUACACAAAUCAUCAUAAAAA
This is a long non-coding RNA of Heterocephalus glaber (naked mole-rat), 840 nucleotides long. RefSeq lists it as uncharacterized. Lineage: Eukaryota; Metazoa; Chordata; Mammalia; Rodentia; Bathyergidae. The record is from RefSeq and is a predicted model, not a curated record.